RNAcentral lists this ribosomal RNA (596 nucleotides) under uncultured bacterium. Its description in RNAcentral is "bacterial SSU rRNA". It matches the Rfam family "Bacterial small subunit ribosomal RNA", at positions 788 to 1384 of the family's 1533-position model. The record is from RNAcentral.
UGGUAGUNCACGCCGUAAACGAUGAGUGCUAGGUGUUAGACCCUUCCCGGGGUUUAGUGCCGCAGCUAACGCAUUAAGCACUCCGCCUGGGGAGUACGACCGCAAGGUUGAAACUCAAAGGAAUUGACGGGGGCCCGCACAAGCGGUGGAGCAUGUGGUUUAAUUCGAAGCAACGCGAAGAACCUUACCAGGUCUUGACAUCCCUCUGACCGCUCUAGAGAUAGAGUUUUCCUUCGGGACAGAGGUGACAGGUGGUGCAUGGUUGUCGUCAGCUCGUGUCGUGAGAUGUUGGGUUAAGUCNCGCAACGAGCGCAACCCCUAUUGUUAGUUGCCAUCAUUUAGUUGGGCACUCUAGCGAGACUGCCGGUAAUAAACCGGAGGAAGGUGGGGAUGACGUCAAAUCAUCAUGCCCCUUAUGACCUGGGCUACACACGUGCUACAAUGGCUGGUACAACGAGUCGCAAGCCGGUGACGGCAAGCUAAUCUCUUAAAGCCAGUCUCAGUUCGGAUUGUAGGCUGCAACUCGCCUACAUGAAGUCGGAAUCGCUAGUAAUCGCGGAUCAGCACGCCGCGGUGAAUACGUUCCCGGGCCUUGU